GAUGAACGCUGGCGGCGUGCCUAACACAUGCAAGUCGAGCGAAGAAUGAGAAGCUUGCUUUUCAUUACUUAGCGGCGGACGGGUGAGUAACGCGUGGGUAACCUGCCCUGUACAGGGGAAUAACAGUUAGAAAUGACUGCUAAUGCCCCAUAAGCCAACGUGAUGGCAUCUUCAUGUUGGAAAAGAUUUAUCGGUACAGGAGGGACCCGCGUCUGAUUAGCUGGUUGGUGAGGUAACGGCCCACCAAGGCGACGAUCAGUAGCCGACCUGAGAGGGUGAUCGGCCACAUUGGAACUGAGACACGGUCCAAACUCC
RNAcentral lists this ribosomal RNA (315 nucleotides) under uncultured Clostridia bacterium. RNAcentral describes it as "bacterial SSU rRNA". It matches the Rfam family "Bacterial small subunit ribosomal RNA", at positions 28 to 339 of the family's 1533-position model. The record is from RNAcentral. Lineage: Bacteria; Bacillati; Bacillota; Clostridia.